Non-coding RNA from Misgurnus anguillicaudatus (oriental weatherfish), 2458 nucleotides. Lineage: Eukaryota; Metazoa; Chordata; Actinopteri; Cypriniformes; Cobitidae. The record is from RefSeq and is a predicted model, not a curated record.
GUUAUAACCGGACUGCAUGCGAAUUUGAACUUCAGAGCUGAAGGAGCGGGUGGAGAAAUAGUCCCAAUAUCAUAACAAUCUUAAAUAAAACUUCUAAAUAUGCCCGUGUGUGUACCCGUGUGCGCGCGCGCGUGCGCGCGACCCGCUCACGCGCGCGUGUGUAUGUACAGUAUGUGCGUGAGUUUUUAAUUUAAAAUGUCUUAACUUAACUCGGAAGGAUCUGAAUCACAGGUCAUUUCAUCUGAGAUCAUUCCGCAUGUAACAGCCGGAAUCACUCACUGUUUCCCACAACGACACGAGUCAUCAGCCGUUUCCUCAAGGUCACGUCAGAGCGGUGUUGAUGUGGAGAGGCAGACCAGACCACCACCAUACGCGAAGAUGAGCCUCGAGGCGUGACAGUUAUUUUUUCAAACUGAGGAGUUCGGACUCCGGACCGUCAUUUCUGCUUGUUUGUACCCUGAGAUAACCAUGGUUAAUAAAUGGUCAGACACGUCACUGGCUUUAAAAUAUAAACCCCAUUGAUGCAAAAAGAUGCUGCAUGGAAUGACAAUGUGGUUUGGAACAGACUUGGUGAAGAACAUGGAAACAUCUCUUAAUAAAAUGGCCCCAAACAUCAUCAGGAGUGCAAAAGAAGGAAGUAAAAACAUCUCUACGCCAAUCUCAUUGGAGAGGAAACCACAGAAGGUCUGGUGAGGAAUGCUGCACUUAUGUUAUUGCAAGCAUUAUUUCAAGAAAAUCCCAGCUUCCUUGACUGUGUAAAUAGUGAACCCAAAGGUCCCACACCAACCAUAGUGUUCAACGGCUCUCCUGAUCUUUUCAAAUCUGAAUGUAUCAACUUUAUAAUGGACAAUGUGAACUUAAUAUGUGGAAGACAUUGACAUCACAGGCUGUGGAAUGACUGUGUCACAGGUCGGAGAAGCGGACCGCCCCUGUCGCGGAUCACGCUCCUCCUAGUUCCACCUCGAGGAGGUCCCAAAGCACCCCAAUGACCAGACAAACCAGAGGGGGAGUAUUACGGGGCCAGGGACGUUGGAGGGGUUUCCACGUGACUCCAGCUGGAACACCGCUACAGAGCGUAUCUGGGUGGGUUGGGCACACACCGUCGCGGCGGCCCCUGUUGGCAUCCACAAGGGUCCAAGACCCUCCUAAGCUCCUAGCCGUAGCAGAACUACGUAUUUCAGCACCCGAACGACUAACAACCCAGCCGGCAUCUGCAGCGUAUAUCCAACGCGAUCAAACUUCACUCUGACAAGUAACUUCCUAUACACAACCACGCCGUCCUUUCGCCCGGACCAGCCCCGCACUCUUUCCGCCCGCUACCUAGCGGUCGCCGGAUCAGCAGAGCCUGCGGACUCUUCGGAGGCUGGUCUUCGUUGUGCUGCCCAAGGCGGAAGUUGACUCGCCCGAAAAUCGACCCUUCCAGUAACUUCUACCUUCUCUCUUUAUAUCCUCCUCCCAGGCGUGGCUCGCCCAACCAUCGCUCGCCACGUCACUCACACAGCUGUGCCUUGUUUCAGCGAGUGCGGGGAUUCCCAGGGAACCCUGAAGUGCCGGUGUCUGUACAAACCGGUCCGGGCGGAACCUCUUCACUCUCCUUUUGGUUCCGCCCCGCAUAGUCACUCCGUGACAACUGUUUGCGUUUUUUUUUCUCCUCAAUGUUCAAUACCCUUUUGCCAUUAAGCACACAGUGACUUUAAUUUAUAAAAUAUAUGCUUAAGUUUUAAUACCUGUACAAAACAAAUGUACAAUCAACUUGUGUAAAUUGUCAUUCUAUUUAAUAGAUUGUUCAUGAAUUGUCUUUAAAUGCAUUGUGAUUUCGGUAACACUUUACAAUAAAGUUCAUUAGUUAACAUUAGUUAAUGUAUUAACUAACUUGAAGAAACCAUAAGCAAUACAUUUGUUACAGUAUUUAUUCAUCUUUGUUAAUGUUAGUUAAUAAAAAAUUAAGCUUUAAUUGCUUGUUCAUGUUAGUUCAGAGUGCAUUAACUAAUGUUAACAAGAUUUUAAUAAAGUAAUUGUUGAAAUUAACAUUAACAAAGAUUAAUAAAGGCUGUAUAAGUGCAGUUCAUUAUUAGUUCAUGUUAACUAAUGUAGCUAACUAAUGUUAACUAAUGAACCUUAUUGUAAAGUGUUACCGUGAUUUCUUUUCAUCAUUUCAGACACAUGUAAAAGUUACUAAAAAUUAAUACUGCAUAUACUGUACAGUAUCUAUGCGUAAGGGAAAUAACUUAAACAAAAUUUUUAAUGUAUAGUGUAAUUAAGAGUUUAGCUGUUUAAUACAGAGAUGCAAUUUAUUUAUAUAUAUUAUUUAUAUAUAAACGUAUGUAUGUUUAUUAAAAAGUGAAAAUGCUUAAUGGAAAUAAUUAAAUAACUAAAUGGUUGAAUGUAAUGAGACAUUUUAAAUGUAAACUAAAGUUUUGCUGUCUAAUACAGAAUAAAGAGAUGUGAUUUUAAGUAA